RNAcentral lists this long non-coding RNA (261 nucleotides) under Capsicum annuum. RNAcentral's name for it is "long non-coding RNA (CANN_LNC017268)". Lineage: Eukaryota; Viridiplantae; Streptophyta; Magnoliopsida; Solanales; Solanaceae. The record is from RNAcentral.
AAGAAUCCCUAGAACCCAAAAAUCUCUAUGAUCCAAGUAGCCCUACAGCCUCGAACAUGGAACCUUCCCCCACCAUACCUCGUCAAAAGAUUAGAACUGACCCAGGAUUAGAGGUCAUCAAAUCUAAUAAUGAGUAUACUCCAGACCUCAAAGCUCUUGAGGUCCUCUGGUAUCUUCCUAAAGAUGCGUUAAAAAGGAAGUGGUACACCAGUACCUAUUCUAAAGAUCAACAAAAAGAGUUUGGCAGACUCUGGAUAGAUG